This 261-nucleotide ribosomal RNA is filed under the name uncultured bacterium. RNAcentral describes it as "partial 16S ribosomal RNA". It matches the Rfam family "Bacterial small subunit ribosomal RNA", at positions 29 to 317 of the family's 1533-position model. The record is from RNAcentral.
AGCGAACGCUGGCGGCAGGCUUAACACAUGCAAGUCGAGCGGGCGUAGCAAUACGUCAGCGGCAGACGGGUGAGUAACGCGUGGGAACAUACCUCUUGGUUCGGAACAACACAGGGAAACUUGUGCUAAUACCGGAUAAGCCCUUACGGGGAAAGGAUUAUCGCCGAGAGAUUGCCCGCGUCUGAUUAGCUAGUUGGUGAGGUAACGGCUCACCAAGGCGACGAUCAGAGCUGGUCUGAGAGGAUGAUCAGCCACAUUGGG